AGCGAACGCUGGCGGCAGGCUUAACACAUGCAAGUCGAGCGGGCCUUUCGGGGUCAGCGGCGGACGGGUGAGUAACGCGUGGGAACGUGCCCUCUGGUUCGGAAUAACUCAGGGAAACUUGAGCUAAUACCGGAUACGCCCUUUUGGGGAAAGGCUUGCUGCCGGAGGAUCGGCCCGCGUCUGAUUAGCUAGUUGGUGAGGUAACGGCUCACCAAGGCGACGAUCAGUAGCUGGUCUGAGAGGAUGAUCAGCCACACUGGGACUGAGACACGGCCCAGACUCCUACGGGAGGCAGCAGUGGGGAAUAUUGGACAAUGGGCGCAACUGAUCCAGCCAUGCCGCGUGAGUGAUGAAGGCCUUAGGGUUGUAAAGCUCUUUUAUCCGGGACGAUAAUGACGGUACCGGAGGAAUAAGCCCCGGCUAACUUCGUGC
RNAcentral lists this ribosomal RNA (432 nucleotides) under Methylobacterium sp. B21. RNAcentral's name for it is "bacterial SSU rRNA". It matches the Rfam family "Bacterial small subunit ribosomal RNA", at positions 29 to 508 of the family's 1533-position model. Lineage: Bacteria; Pseudomonadati; Pseudomonadota; Alphaproteobacteria; Hyphomicrobiales; Methylobacteriaceae. The record is from RNAcentral.